AAGUGUUGAGUUUUGAUUGCAAGUUGGUAGUUGAUUUUGUGCUUUACCUGUCAUAUAGUCACUGUGUGAGGCUUGUUGCGUGGAAAUUCAAACUUUUGUUUACAUACCUUCGUGUUGCAUUGAUUUUCCUGUUAGAACACCUGGACUUGACCCGUUCGAACAUUCCCUUGAUCUAAGAUCGUGAAUCUUACGAAACCCUGGGAAUCUAGAACGGUGUAUAUUGCGGCCGUAGGAUAACUUUGUGUGACCUAUCUGUG
This 257-nucleotide long non-coding RNA is filed under the name Olea europaea (common olive). Its description in RNAcentral is "long non-coding RNA (OEUR_LNC006524)". Lineage: Eukaryota; Viridiplantae; Streptophyta; Magnoliopsida; Lamiales; Oleaceae. The record is from RNAcentral.